UAUGGCUAUCAAAAGUCUUACGUCAAAUCUUAUUUGAUUAGGUAAGAUUUAUAGGUGAUUAUAUAUCGGAUAGAUAUAAUGAUGCUACUAAAAAUUCCUGAAGCAUAAGUGAGGAGAAAGCGGAGGAUUAAAGCUAAAAAGAUCAUAAAAAUUCUCCAAAUUAAUAUGGAUAAAGACAAUUAUCAAUAUAUUCAAAAUUUAGAAGAGUCGAAGAGCAUGUGGAUUAUUCCUGUAGCUACUCAAAGUUUAAUAAGGCAUGGCUUCAAUUUUUGGAGAAUGAGAUUGAUAUCUAAAACAAAGUAAUUUUACAAUUUUUGAAUAUUUUAUUAAAAAAGCAAGUGAUUGUUGAGCUUGGCAUUCUUGAUAAAAAUUCUUGCCGUCAUCAAAUUAAAUGGUAUAGACUGUUAAUUCAUGGUUUGAAUGGAAAGCAUCAGUGCGUAUAUACUUGCUAUUUCUGCAUGGGCUAAAUAACCUAUAUUUGCAAAACAGAAACCUUUAUAGGAAAACACCUUAUUUUUUAUAGUAGAAAUAAAAAUAAAAAGAUAAAUAACGAAAUUAAAAUUUUGAAGAAAAAACUAGUUGAAGAAUCAUACAAUGGAAAAAAUCAAAUUAAAAAAAAUACAAAUUUAAGGAGAAUUAUCAUGGAUGUGAAAAAUUUGGUCAUAAAAUU
RNAcentral lists this long non-coding RNA (670 nucleotides) under Phoenix dactylifera (date palm). RNAcentral describes it as "long non-coding RNA (PDAC_LNC002418)". Lineage: Eukaryota; Viridiplantae; Streptophyta; Magnoliopsida; Arecales; Arecaceae. The record is from RNAcentral.